UGAGAGCCUGCUGUAUGGGAAAACCAGAUACACUGCUUUGCAAUUAUUCCAGGACUCUGAAGAGCUGUCACAGGUCACUAACAGCUGAGUAUCACUAGCUACCUUUUCUCCUUCCUUUCCUGUGGAAGAGACUCAAAGCCCCGGAGCAGCAUGAAGGGAGGACACAGGUUUUUUACUUACUUCAGAAUUUCACAUACUGCCUGUUUAUAGAAGCCAACUCGCUGAAAAUUAACAGACCUUUCCUUGUUAAUCAGUGUUGCUCGGUGUUUCAGGGGGAAAAAAAAAAAUCUAAGUCAACCGACCUUCGGAAAUGUCUUUUGGUCGGGAAUUUAGCCACGUUGGUGAGAAACACGAGCCGCGCCCACCAGGAAGUGUUUCUGAGGCAGGUUGGGGGAGUUUGCUUUCAAAAGUCAGGAAGGUGCAAAAAUGCGAGUUGAGUCCCUGCCUGACAGGUGCUUACACUUCGCCCGUGACUUUAUGGUUGUGUGACCCCUGUUGUCGUUUAAUGUUUCAACCGUCUAGCCCCUGCUCCCCUAAUGAAAAGGGACAAGGGCAGGUGUGUCAGUCAGGGUCCUGUGGCAGGAAGACGUACACCUGGAUGGAACUUGGAAGCGAAUUGGACAAAGGGAUGAUUUCAUAGAGGCAAGGGCAGGAAGGGGAACUGCCAGGACUGCGGGGGCGACCGGGACUGGCUGCGGUGGGCAGUCUCCGCCACCACUUAGGCCUCUCGGGAGCUGGAGUCAUGAAGGAGGGACUCCCCGGGGUUGGGGGCUGAGGUCCUGGAGGGGUGCAGCCAUUACUGGCGCGUGGAGGGAUGGGUCUAGCUCUCCAUCUCCCGCCAGCGCCAGACCCAACUGGAACUCAGAGACCAACGGAGCCCAGGCAGAAAUAAUCUCCAAACAGCUUUUGUACCGUGGGGGAUAGGAUGAGGGAGCCAUGCAGGGAAGGAAAGAGGACGGGGCAAGGACAUCUAGACUGGAAGUAGGCACCCAGCAAAGAAUGAUCAUCAAAAGAGCAGAUUCUGGAGAGAUCCACGCAUACCCAGGACAUCCCCCAGGUGUCUGUCCACUGGCCGUGAUUGCUUUUGAGAUGCUGAUUCCAGUUCACUGGGAAGCAGUCCGAUGUCAAAGAGAGAACGUGAGCUUUGGAGUCCCACAGACCUGGGUUUGAAAGUGAACUCAGCCUCUUCUGUCCGUACAGCCCAGGGCACAACAUCAUUGUGACUCAGUGUUCUCAUCUUUAAAA
This is a long non-coding RNA of Herpailurus yagouaroundi (jaguarundi), 1245 nucleotides long. RefSeq lists it as uncharacterized. The transcript has 3 exons. The record is from RefSeq and is a predicted model, not a curated record. NCBI's taxonomy places the organism in Eukaryota, Metazoa, Chordata, Mammalia, Carnivora, Felidae.